AUUGAACGCUGGCGGCAUGCCUAACACAUGCAAGUCGAGCGGAGGAAGUUAGCUUGCUCCUGGAUGCAGCGGCGGACGGGAGAGGAAUGCCAAGGAAUCUGCCUGUGGGGGGGGGAUAACGUCCGGAAACGGGCGCUAAUACCUCAUACGUCCUGAGCGUGAAAGUGGGGGGUCUUCUGACCUCUCGCUAUCAGCUAAGCCUAGAUCGGAUGAGCUAGUUGGUGGGGUAAAGGCCUACCAAGGCGACGAUCCGUAACUGGUCUGAGAGGAUGAUCAGUCAAACUGGAAUUGAGACACGGUCAAGACUCCUACGGGAGGCAGCAGUGGGGAAUAUUCGACAUUGGGCGAAAGCCUGCUCCACAAAUGCCGCGUGUGUGAAGAAGGUCUUCGGAUUGUAAAGCACUUUAAGUUGGGCGGAAGGGCAGUAAGUUAAUACCUUGCUGUUUUGACGUUAGCAACAGAAUAAGCACCGGCUAACUUCGUG
This 484-nucleotide ribosomal RNA is filed under the name uncultured bacterium. RNAcentral's name for it is "partial 16S ribosomal RNA". It matches the Rfam family "Bacterial small subunit ribosomal RNA", at positions 30 to 507 of the family's 1533-position model. The record is from RNAcentral.